AUGGAGUCGUUCACCAACACUGCCCCCACGCCACCCAAAGCGCCGCAGCGGCCGCACGUCGUGCUUCUGCCCAGCCCCGGCGCCGGCCACCUCAUUCCAAUGGCCGAGCUGGCGCGGCGGCUCGUGGAGCUCGGCUUCUCGGCCACGAUCCUCACCUUCACCAAUCUCUCUGCCCCAGUAGAUGCAGAUCGGCUCACCCCGUGCCUCCCGGCCUCCGUUGCCGUCGCCGCGCUCCCCGCCGUCCAGAUGGACGACCUCCCCGCCAACGUCCACGAGGGCAGAGUGCUCGCGGAGCUCGCCCGCCGCUCCCUCCCCAACAUCCGCACCCUCGUUCACUCCAUCAACUCCACCACCCUGCUCGCCGCAGUCGUGCUGGACUUCCUCUGCCCCAUGGCGCUGCCCAUCGCCGCCGAGCUCGGCGUCCCCGGAUACAUCUUCUUCCCUAGCAACCUGGCCAUGGUCGCCCUCACGCGCCACAUCGUCGAGCUCCACGAGGGCGCCGCCCCGGGCGAGUACCGCGACGUCGCGGUGCCUCUCGAGCUUCCCGGCGGCGUGUCGCUGUGCGGCGCCGACAUCCCGGACGCGUUCCGCGCCAGUUUCACGAACCCGCGUUACGCGAAACUUGUCGAGUUGGUCCGGAGCUAUCGCCUCGCCGAUGGCAUACUGGUGAACACGUUCUACGAGAUGGAACUUGGCACCGCGGAAGCCUUCAAGCGGCUGGAGCAAGCUGCGGGCGCGUUCUUCUUCCCGCCGGUCUUCCCGGUGGGGCCAUUCGUCCGGCGGCCAGAUCCCGACGAAGCCGCCGCGGGCGCGUCGUCGCCAUGCUUGGAGUGGCUUGAUCGUCAGCCGGUCGGCUCCGUCGUGUACGUCGCCUUCGGGAGCGGCGGAGCACUUCCCGUGGAGCAGACGGCCGAGCUCGCGGCCGGGCUGGAGGCGAGCGGCCAAAGGUUUCUUUGGGUCGUGCGGAUGCCAAGCCUCGACGGCGGCAACGGCCAUUGCCGCGGCGACGGAGACUAUGACGAUCCAUUGACGUGGCUCCCUAAGGGCUUCUUGGAGAGGACGAGAGGCAGGGGCCUAGCCGUGGCGGCGUGGGCGCCUCAGGUGCGCGUGCUGUCCCACCCCGCGACCGCCGUCUUCGUGUCACACUGCGGAUGGAACUCGACGCUGGAGAGCGUGGGGUGCGGUGUGCCGAUGCUCGCGUGGCCGCUGUACGCGGAGCAGGGGAUGAACGCCGUUAUCCUGGAAGAGAAGCUCGGGGUGGCCCUGCGGGUGCCGCCAGCGCGCGAGGACGAUCGAUGCUUGGUGACGCGCCACGAGAUCGCCACCGCCGUGAAGGAGCUCGUGGAGGGGGGCCAAAAGUUGCGGCGCCGGGCCGAGAGCCUGCAGAAAGCGGCAGCAGGUGCGUGGUCACCAGAGGGGCCGUCGCGCCGGGCGCUCGAGGAGGUCGCCGUCAAGUUGAAGGCGGCGCUUGGCAGAGAGAAGUGA
Molecule: ribosomal RNA, 1485 nt
Filed under: Triticum aestivum (bread wheat)
Lineage: Eukaryota; Viridiplantae; Streptophyta; Magnoliopsida; Poales; Poaceae
Description: partial small subunit ribosomal RNA
Source: RNAcentral